Long non-coding RNA from Lates calcarifer (barramundi perch), 3404 nucleotides. RefSeq lists it as uncharacterized. NCBI's taxonomy places the organism in Eukaryota, Metazoa, Chordata, Actinopteri, Centropomidae. The transcript is spliced from 4 exons. The record is from RefSeq and is a predicted model, not a curated record.
GGUGCGACCAGAGUGGUGUUGUCUUUAGGUCUUAGGGAGGAGACUGAUGAGGGCUGCUUGGGCAUGAAAAGUCUCCUAAAACUCUACAGCAGGAUCCUGAAGAACAGAUUCAACCAACAGAUGGAGGCACAGCACAUGGUAUGCAGCGUUUAUCAUGAGGAUGUGGUGACGAGUCGACCGACAGAAAGAGACAACACACUACCUCCUCAACCUGAGCCUUAUUUUUCUCAGAGUUUUCUCAUAUCAGUGCCUGACAAUGUCUUCAUCUAUGCAAACAUUUGGUUUUCUCUUCAUCUGUUUUUACAGUCAUGCGAGCGCUGUUACAUUUCAGCAAUCUCCUCUCCAGAUAGUGAAGGAGAACAGUGAAGUCCACAUUAACUGCACUCAUGAUGAUAGUACCCUUCUCUUAAUGCUCUGGUAUCAGCAAAGAGAGGACAGUCUGUCUAUGACCCUCAUUACAUAUGGAUAUGCAAAAACCAAUCCAAACUAUGAAGGUCAGUUUGAUAAACAAUUCAAACUGACAAGAGAAGACGCAACAUCAGGAACGCUUACUAUUCAAAGAGCCAACCUGUCACACUCAGCUGUGUAUUUCUGCGCUGCCAGUACACAGUGAUGUGGUUUAAUGCCACUCCCUCACUAAAAACCCUGAUCUUUUUCCUGUGUUUGCACAAGAAGGGGUGACUCUCUUUUUACACACUCUCACUGGAGGAAGCUGUGUUUCUCCUGCAGCAGCACAAACCUGGAGGAUGUCUCCAACUGUGAUUGGAUUUCUUCUCAUCUUGCUUCCAUAUCAAACAAAGAGUGUGAAUUUUCAGCCGUCUCAUCCGAGAAUAGUCAACAAAGCAGCCAGGGUGGAAAUUGAAUGCAGUCACGAUGACAGCAACCUUUAUGUAAUGCUCUGGUACCAGCAAGACAGAGGUCUGAUGAGCUUGAUUGGAUACAGCUAUCAUGGCAACGAACCCACAUAUGAGAAACAGUUCGAAAACCAGUUUGCGAUUACAAGAGAAAGCAUCCUGAAAGGAUCUCUGAUUAUUCACAAUGUGAAUGUAUUAGACUCAGCUGUGUAUUUCUGCGCUGCCAGUACACAGUGAUGUGGUUUAAUGUCACCCCAUCACUAAAAACCCUGCUCUCUUUUUUUCUGUUCAGGAAUCUCUGAGGCAAGCUGGUGGAGCAUCAAAAAUGUCACAGUCAUUCAUGAACAUAUGAAAGCACAUGACAUUUAUGGGGAGGAGUUUAAGGCUGCCAUUUACAGGCAAAAACUGUUUACAUCCUUAAUAUAAAUCAGACAGCACAAUUAGUUUGACUGCACUGCAUCCCAGGUGACUAAACGAUUCAACAUAUUUUUCGGUCUUGUUAUUUAAAGGAUAACUCUGGAAAUUCUCCAAAGAUUUUUGUGCUUAUCAAUCAGUUACACUCAGAAAAUAGAAAAAUUAAGCCAGGAUAACAUAAAUACAACAAAGCCAACACAUGACAUUAUGUUCGCACAAGAAGUAAAUGCUGAAUCUUGGUGAGGUGAAGCUGUAAGUCCUGGCGUCUCAGAGAGGAGCAAACUUUUUGAAAGAAACUCGAGAAGCCAAAACUCAGACGUGUGAGAGCGGUAGGCCCGAUUCCAAGGCCUAAUGUGUAUUACCUUAACCUGAAUUUAACCUGAGUUUAACUUAAUCCUAACCUUAACCAGUUAUCUGUGCGUACUUCCGGGCCGUGGAAUCUAAUGUUUACAGGUCAGGAUUCGAACAACCGUUAACGGAUGUGACUGAAAAUCGUUACUGUAACAAAAUGCAGCAGCAAAUUCUUACCUUGGUGAAGAAGAGAAGCUGUAAUUCCCUCCAGACAUUUCCGAGAAGCGUAAAUCUUUUCUGAAAGAGUCCCAAGCAAGGCAAUAAAGUCCAGUUCAAACUUGAAGCAAGCAUCCAAUCGACGAAUCAUCCAAUCGACGAAGAGUCCAAUCGUCAAUGCGACGACGAGCAACCGACUCCAUCCACAAGUGUGGGCACGGCGAAAACAUUUACUUCCCGCACCGGUCUAUAGCAACAUUUGUCUAUCAAACUGCUGGCAAUGAGCUCGCUUUUGAAGUGCAAGUUUUAAUACUAGUCAUCCUCAUUUUCUACAAACUAAAUUUGCUCAUUGUUUAGUUGUUUAUUCGGUCCACCAGGGCCGCAAAGUUUUGCGUGCGACAAGUACUAAAUGAACGGUUAAAAAGUGGGCGGGGUUUAGCCACUUUAAAAAGACUACCAAUCAGGCGGUGACCAAUCAUGUUCCACUGAGGCCCACCUGUAAGCAGGUUUUUAUCCAAUCACCUCAGCAGGUGAUUUAAAUGAAACAUUUUACAGCAGAAACACCGGAUCAUUCUCACGCUGUCAGCAAUAAUAAAAAUCUGCAGUAACUCAAAGGAAUCAUGGUAUUGGAGUAUUGGAGGCAGACUAAAACAAAAUCAAACAAAUAAGGCAGUAACCGGGACUAACACAUCCCAAAACCUUGUCUGGUUUUUGAGUUUAUUAUAUUUAACUGAGGAGAAAUACACUCUACACUCUAAAUACACUAACUUUAUUAACUAAAAGAGGUAAACUAUAGUACAGGGUUAGUGUUUCUUAAUUUAUUCACCUGAACAUGAUAUUAUUUGAUGAAAGUUUGUAUUCGUUAGUGAUUAGAAACAAAACUGCAGCAAAGAUACAUGCUGAUUUUUUUUAUGAGAUCAGCUGUGAGCAGAGGAAGAAGGUGGGGAAGAGGAGGUAUGAUGUAUGGAGAAGGUAGACACCUCUCAUUUGAUAUGUAAGACGGCUGUCAGACUAGAACGACACGCAAAACCUCUGCCACUGAUGCCGGGUUUCAGAUUUCAGUAUAUGCUGUGAUUGUAAAUUUGAUAUGGAAACAGUUGCAUUUUCAUUUGUCUUUACUGCAUAGAUCUUGAUUUAAGUUUAGUUUCCAGGAUGUCUCCAGCUUUAUACACGUUUGGAUUUUUACUGUUCAUGCUCACAGGAAAAGUGAAGAGUGUCACCUUUGAACAGUCCCCUUCUCAGAUUGUGAAGAAAGGGACUAAGGAGCUCAGGAUUAACUGCAGUCAUGAUGGCAGCAACCUGCAAACAAUGCUGUGGUACCAACACAAACCGAGCAGCCAGUCCAUGAGCCUCAUUGGGUACACAGUUCUCACGAGUGACCCAGUCUUCGAGGACCAGUUUAAAGACAGAUUCCAGCUGAAAAGAGAAGACAUACUGAGAGGAUCUCUGAUCAUUCUCACAGUGGAUUCAUCAGACUCAGCUGUGUAUUUCUGUGCUGCUAGCACACACUGAUGUGGUUUAAUACCACUGCUGCACUAAAAACCUCCUGUAGCAAACUAAUGACAGCUCCUGAAUGAUGAAUGAUAUUUUUUUUACAGUAUCAUGAAUGUAAUCAUAUACCAAAAUGUA